UGGCAACACCUCGGAUUAUGACUCCAUUGUAUGAGGCCAGUGCAAACAGGCUGAGAGAGGCCCUGCAGAGCAAGCACCAACAAUGAAGGGUUAUCCAGGGCUCUUACAUCAAAGAAGAAACAGGACAAAGUCUGUGUACGGAAGGGUUGGCUGUAGAUGUUACACAACCAGGCAAGGAGGAGAGGCAAGGGAAGGGCUGUGCAAUCUCGACCACAUGGAACUGGGAGCAGGAAGGCUUCCCAAGGUCGUGCUUCACCAUGAGACUUGAAAAUCUCACAUGACAGGGAAUAGUGGGACAAUCUG
Long non-coding RNA from Passer domesticus (house sparrow), 303 nucleotides. RefSeq lists it as uncharacterized. The transcript is spliced from 3 exons. NCBI's taxonomy places the organism in Eukaryota, Metazoa, Chordata, Aves, Passeriformes, Passeridae. The record is from RefSeq and is a predicted model, not a curated record.